UAAUACUGGAUAGGCAAUUAUUCCUGUAAUGGUUUUUUGUUUAAAUGUUUUUUCGCCUAAGGAUGGGUCUGCGGCCGAUUAGGUAGUUGGUUAGGUAAUGGCUUACCAAGCCUUUGAUCGGUACGGGUUGUGAGAGCAAGAGCCCGGAGAUGGAACCUGAGACAAGGUUCCAGGCCCUACGGGGUGCAGCAGGCGCGAAACCUCCGCAAUGUGAGAGAUCGCGACGGGGGGAUCCCAAGUGCCAUUCUUAACGGGAUGGCUUUUCUUUAGUGUAAAAAGCUUUUGGAAUAAGAGCUGGGCAAGACCGGUGCCAGCCGCCGCGGUAACACCGGCAGCUCUAGUGGUAGCAAUUUUUAUUGGGCCUAAAGCGUCCGUAGCCGGUUUAAUAAGUCUCUGGUGAAAUCCUGUAGCUUAACUGUGGGAAUUGCUGGAGAUACUAUUAGACUUGAGACCGGGAGAGGUUAGAGGUACUCCCAGGGCAGAGGUGAAAUUCUGUAAUCCUGGGAGGACCGCCUGUUGCGAAGGCGUCUAACUGGAACGGUUCUGACGGUGAGGGACGAAAGUUAGGGGCGCGAACCGGAUUAGAUACCCGGGUAGUCCUAACUGUAAACGAUGCGGACUUGGUGUUG
Molecule: ribosomal RNA, 629 nt
Filed under: uncultured archaeon
Lineage: Archaea
Description: bacterial SSU rRNA
Rfam family: Archaeal small subunit ribosomal RNA
Source: RNAcentral